GGCAAUAUGGUGGAAUUGGUAGACACAGGAGACUUAAAAUCUCCUGGUCAGUAAUGACCGUGCGGGUUCGAGUCCCGCUAUUGCUA
RNAcentral lists this transfer RNA (86 nucleotides) under Prevotella sp. CAG:1092. It matches the Rfam family "tRNA". From Rfam's summary of the family: Transfer RNA (tRNA) molecules are approximately 80 nucleotides in length. Their secondary structure includes four short double-helical elements and three loops (D, anti-codon, and T loops). Lineage: Bacteria; Pseudomonadati; Bacteroidota; Bacteroidia; Bacteroidales; Prevotellaceae. The record is from Rfam by way of RNAcentral.